Molecule: ribosomal RNA, 1855 nt
Filed under: human gut metagenome
Description: bacterial LSU rRNA
Rfam family: Bacterial large subunit ribosomal RNA
Source: RNAcentral
CCAAAGUGUAUGUUAAGUGGAAAAGGAUGUGGGAUUUCGAAGACAACUAGGAUGUUGGCUCAGAAGCAGCCACACAUUCAAAGAGUGCGUAAUAGCUCACUAGUCGAGAGGUCCUGCGCCGAAAAUGUCCGGGGCUAAAACACAACACCGAAGCUUAGGAAUGUAGUGAUACAUUGGUAGAGGAGCAUUCUUAAAGAGACGAAGCAGUACCGAUAAGGAGCUGUGGAUUUUUAAGAAGAGAGAAUGCCGGAAUGAGUAGCGAGAUGGAGGUGGGAAUCCUCCAGGCCGAAUAUCUAAGGUUUCCAGAGUAAAGCUGAUCUGCUCUGGGUAAGUCGGGGCCUAAGGCGAGGUCGAAAGACGUAGUCGAUGGAUAACAGGUUGAAAUUCCUGUACUGCAUAUCAUCAGAACUGUGGGGACACAGAGAGAUACCGGAACCUGGGAAUGAAGAUACCAGGGCAAGCGAGGUAGGUGCUAAGCUGGCAAAACCGCUUAGUAAGCCGAAGACGUGAUGCGGAGCGAAUUAAAGUAGCGAAGUCCGGGAUUCGAGCUGUCGAGAAAAGCCGCUAUUGUGUGAUAUGUACCCGUACCGUAAACCGACACAGGUGGAUGAGGAGAGAAUCCUAAGGCCGGCGGGAGAAGCAUUGUUAAGGAACUCGGCAAAAUGACCCUGUAACUUCGGGAUAAAGGGUGCCACAGAGAUGUGGCCGCAGAGAAUAGGCUCAAGCAACUGUUUAGCAAAAACACAGGUCUAUGCGAAACCGAAAGGUGAGGUAUAUGGGCUGACGCCUGCCCGGUGCUGGAAGGUUACGAGGAGAGGUUAGAGCAAUCGAAGCUUUGAAUCUAAGCCCCAGUAAACGGCGGCCGUAACUAUAACGGUCCUAAGGUAGCGAAAUUCCUUGUCGGGUAAGUUCCGACCCGCACGAAAGGCGUAAUGAUUUGAGCGCUGUCUCGACAAUGCACCCGGUGAAAUUGAAAUACCAGUGAAGAUGCUGGUUACCUGCGCCAGGACGGAAAGACCCCAUGGAGCUUUACUCUAGCUUGAUACUGGGAUUCGGUACUGCAUGUACAGGAUAGGUGGGAGACGAAGAGGACAGGACGCCAGUCUUGUCGGAGUCGCUGUUGGGAUACCACCCUUGUGGUACUGGAUUUCUAACCAACCUCCGUGACCCGGAGGUGGGACAAUGUCAGGUGGGGAGUUUGACUGGGGCGGUCGCCUCCGAAAGGGUAUCGGAGGCGCUCAAAGGUUCCCUCAGAAUGGUUGGAAACCAUUCAAAGAGUGCAAAGGCAGAAGGGAGCUUGACUGCGAGACCGACGGGUCGAGCAGGUACGAAAGUAGGACUUAGUGAUCCGGUGGUAGAAAGUGGGAUUGCCAUCGCUCAACGGAUAAAAGCUACCCUGGGGAUAACAGGCUUAUCACUCCCAAGAGUUCACAUCGACGGAGUGGUUUGGCACCUCGAUGUCGGCUCAUCGCAUCCUGGGGCUGUAGCAGGUCCCAAGGGUUGGGCUGUUCGCCCAUUAAAGCGGUACGCGAGCUGGGUUCAGAACGUCGUGAGACAGUUCGGUCCCUAUCCGGCGCGGGCGUAGGAUAUCUGAGGGGAGCUGGCCUUAGUACGAGAGGACCGGGCUGGACGGACCACUGGUGUACCGGCUGUCAUGCCAAUGGCAUCGCCGGGUAGCCAAGUCCGGAAGGAAUAAACGCUGAAGGCAUCUAAGCGUGAAGUCCCCCCCAAGAUGAGAUAUCCCAUCCUUUUAAAGGAGUAAAAACCCUUGAAGAGUACGAGGUAGAUAGGGCAGAGGUGGAAGUGUGGUAACACAUGGAGCUGACUGUUACUAAUCGUUUGAGGGCUUGACCAA